Molecule: long non-coding RNA, 1955 nt
Organism: Lolium rigidum
Lineage: Eukaryota; Viridiplantae; Streptophyta; Magnoliopsida; Poales; Poaceae
Exons: 3
Source: RefSeq, a predicted model, not a curated record
ACAAAUUUUCAAGAAAGGGACACCAUUUGGUUUUGCUUGGUCAUAGGAAUUGUAAAAAUACUUUCCUUUUUUACACUUGUUAGAUUAGUUUUUGGUAUUUUGGGAUGCGUGAGUGUAUUGGUUAUUGAUCUUUAGUGUAUUAUUUUUUGUCACUAAUCACUUGAUUCGAUGUAGAAAAAGGAGUAUUUCUUCUACCACCAAACAACUAGGUUAAUUGUGAUGAUUAAAAAGAAUCCGAGUAUGGCCUUUUAAAUUAGGAAAUUUUCAGUUUCUUAUAUAUUCUCUCGGCAUUCAUUCCCUUGAUGUGUGUAUGUAGGUGUUGUCACUUAUGGAGGACGGGAUGCCAAGCCGCUCGGCAUGGUCUUGGUCACUAGCAGACUGCACACGGUGAGAAGAAAGGCCUAGAGACAUCAGCGAGUGAGGGUGAUCUAGUGUUCUGGCCUGGAGAUGAACUGGCUGCUCUGCACCUUCCACAAUAGGAUGUCGAGGAGGAGGACUAGAUGAUGGCAGCUGCAGCUGGAUGCUUCUUGCAGCCUGAUGAUGUUGUUGGGUCCGACCCCAAACUCAGUCUGACCAUGAUGUCCAGCCCAUACACAAGCUACAAGAGACAUACUUGUGUAUGGGAUGGAUCGUGCUGCUAUUUGGUCUAUUUGGUACAGUGGACCGGCUGGGGCUGUCACCCUUGCCAGCGGAGACGAUGGAGCAAGAUGAGGUAAUUGAGGACUUGUCAAGCAGUGCACCAUCAAGGUGGGGCCCAUCGGGGGCCUUGCCAAGAAACUAAUCUUUACGGUUCUGGUUUGCUAUUCGAAUUGCUUGCUAAACAGAUAUAUAACUGUCCUAAUCUUGUUAACAUCUAUGCGUAGUUCCUAGGUCAUCAUGAUUCUUCUCAUAACUUCACUGUAGCUAGUUUGUUGUGACCUAAAGCUGUUUGUACCCAGUUUUGUUAAUUUGUGAUGCUCUAGCUGCUAGUUUCCCAUUUAGUAGGUUUGUACCCAGUUUUGAUAGCCAUGCCUUGGAAGCCGAAAGACAAGAAGACACCAUGUUCCUUGCUCGAGCUGGGGCCUCUAUGCAGCAGGUUUUCUUCUAGCACGAUAGCUACACAAUAUAUAUGGUUACUACAAUGCUUUGAUUCGACGUCUCAGAAACAUUCAUGUUCUGCAUUGACUUUGCUUGAUGUUCUUUUUUAUGUAUUAGUUUUGUUGUAUGCACCUUAGUGUCUUUUUUGAAGUAUAUGAUCUGGAUGUCCAAUAUAAGUCAUGGCUAAAAUUCCAAUACUACUGCUAAUUAAACUUGUAUUUGUUAAUUAGCUGAAGAACUACUAUUGUUUCUUGAAGAAAAAUCAUAAGUGGCGUUGGUAUUUCUGGUCUUGCAUUAUUUGUCUAUCACGAGCUAGCUAGUUUGUUUAUCACUGAUCAGGCUGGAUUUAUUAUUUUGGCUAUCCUCUGGACGAAGCUAGCGGGUUGUCACUGUUGCUUUGUCCUUUCCUGCUUAUUGGUUGGUGUCGGCCCUGGGCUGCACUGAUCUAUUUUCUGCUAUUGCCAUUGUAGGUUAUAUGAGGCUGUGGUCGUCGUUUUUGCUGGCCUUUUCGGAUUGAGCUGCGCUGGUUGGCUGCGGCGUAACUCUAGGGCUUCGUGACCGAACACUUGUGUCUUGAAUUCUGAAGGCUGGGAGUUUGACCAUUUUUAUCACUAGAGUUACUGGACAUUUAUAUGAUUGAUGAUAUCCAGAUCGUUUCUUUAUACAUGCGGUGUGUUGCUAGCUGCUGGAUGCAGGGAAGGUGUGUUGCUAGCUGCUGGAUGCAGGGAAGGUGUGCUAGCUGCUGGAUGCAGGGUAGGUGUGUUGCUAGCUGCUGGAUGCAGGGAAGUUGAUCAUAUUGUUUCUGCAUUUCUUAUGGGCAUGGAGGUUGUUGAGCUGCGGGAGGGCGAGAGAUACUUUCUGCAGCUCGGCUGGUAAAC